GAUCAUGGCUCAGAACGAACGCUGGCGGCAUGGAUUAGGCAUGCAAGUCGAACGAAGCAGCAAUGCUUAGUGGCGCAAGGGUGAGGAACACGUGAGUGACCUACCCGCAAGUUUGGAACAGCUCCUGGAAACGGGAAUUAAUACCGGAUGUGAUCAAUGAGCUGCAUGGUUUAUUGAUUAAAGCAGCAAUGCGCUUGCGGAUGGGCUCGCGUCCCAUUAGCUAGUUGGUGAGGUAACGGCCCACCAAGGCCAUGAUGGGUAGCUGGUCUGAGAGGACGACCAGCCACACUGGGACUGAGAACUGCCCAGACUCCUACGGGAGGCUGCAGUCGAGAAUUUUGGGCAAUGGACGAAAGUCUGACCCAGCAAUGCCGCGUGCGGGAUGAAGGUCUUCGGAUUGUAAACCGCUGUUUGGAGGGACGAAAAUUGACGGUACUUCCAGAGGAAGCCACGGCUAACUACGUGCCAGCCGCUGC
RNAcentral lists this ribosomal RNA (476 nucleotides) under uncultured bacterium. Its description in RNAcentral is "bacterial SSU rRNA". It matches the Rfam family "Bacterial small subunit ribosomal RNA", at positions 15 to 518 of the family's 1533-position model. The record is from RNAcentral.